This 253-nucleotide ribosomal RNA is filed under the name uncultured bacterium. RNAcentral's name for it is "partial 16S ribosomal RNA". It matches the Rfam family "Bacterial small subunit ribosomal RNA", at positions 524 to 776 of the family's 1533-position model. The record is from RNAcentral.
UACGUAGGGGGCAAGCGUUGUCCGGAUUUAUUGGGCGUAAAGAGCGUGUAGGCGGUUUGGUAGGUCCGUUGUGAAAACUCGAGGCUCAACCUCGAGACGCCGGCGGAAACCAUCAGGCUAGAGUCCGGAAGAGGAGAGUGGAAUUCCUGGUGUAGCGGUGAAAUGCGCAGAUAUCAGGAGGAACACCGAUGGCGAAGGCAGGUCUCUGGGCCAUUACUGACACUGAGAAGCGAAAGCAUGGGGAGCGAACAGG